UGGGGAAUUUUGGACAAUGGGCGCAAGCCUGAUCCAGCCAUGCCGCGUGCGGGAAGAAGGCCUUCGGGUUGUAAACCGCUUUUGUCAGGGAAGAAAUCCUUUGAGCUAAUACCUCGGGGGGAUGACGGUACCUGAAGAAUAAGCACCGGCUAACUUCGUGCCAGCAGCCGCGGUAAUACGAAGGGUGCAAGCGUUACUCGGAAUUACUGGGCGUAAAGCGCGCGUAGGUGGUUAGUUAAGUUGGAUGUGAAAUCCCCGGGCUCAGCCUGGGAACUGCAUUUGUGACUGCAUAGCUGGAGUGCGGCAGAGGGGGAUGGAAUUCCGCGUGUAGCAGUGAAAUGCGUAGAUAUGCGGAGGAACACCGAUGGCGAAGGCAAUCCCCUGGGCCUGUACUGACGCUCAUGCACGAAAGCGUGGGGAGCAAACA
RNAcentral lists this ribosomal RNA (427 nucleotides) under uncultured bacterium. Its description in RNAcentral is "bacterial SSU rRNA". It matches the Rfam family "Bacterial small subunit ribosomal RNA", at positions 355 to 774 of the family's 1533-position model. The record is from RNAcentral.